This 449-nucleotide ribosomal RNA is filed under the name uncultured bacterium. Its description in RNAcentral is "bacterial SSU rRNA". It matches the Rfam family "Bacterial small subunit ribosomal RNA", at positions 29 to 472 of the family's 1533-position model. The record is from RNAcentral.
AUUGAACGCUGGCGGCAUGCCUUACACAUGCAAGUCGAACGGCAGCACGGGGGCAACCCUGGUGGCGAGUGGCGGACGGGUGAGUAAUGCAUCGGAACGUGCCCUGAAGUGGGGGAUAACGCAGCGAAAGCUACGCUAAUACCGCAUAUUCUGUGAGCAGGAAAGCAGGGGAUCGCAAGACCUUGCGCUUUGGGAGCGGCCGAUGUCGGAUUAGCUAGUUGGUGGGGUAAAGGCCUACCAAGGCGACGAUCCGUAGCGGGUCUGAGAGGAUGAUCCGCCACACUGGGACUGAGACACGGCCCAGACUCCUACGGGAGGCAGCAGUGGGGAAUUUUGGACAAUGGGCGAAAGCCUGAUCCAGCCAUGCCGCGUGAGUGAAGAAGGCCUCGGGUUGGUAAAGACUCUUUCGGUUGGGGAGAAAGUUAGCAUAGGCUAAGUACCCUGUGUAG